CCCCGUACACAAAAAUGCACAUACUGUGAGCUCGAUGAGUAGGGCGGGACACGUGGUAUCCUGUCUGAAUAUGGGGGGACCAUCCUCCAAGGCUAAAUACUCCUGACUGACCGAUAGUGAACCAGUACCGUGAGGGAAAGGCGAAAAGAACCCCGGCGAGGGGAGUGAAAAAGAACCUGAAACCGUGUACGUACAAGCAGUGGGAGCCUCUUUAUGGGGUGACUGCGUACCUUUUGUAUAAUGGGUCAGCGACUUAUAUUCUGUAGCAAGGUUAACCGAAUAGGGGAGCCGAAGGGAAACCGAGUCUUAACUGGGCGUUAAGUUGCAGGGUAUAGACCCGAAACCCGGUGAUCUAGCCAUGGGCAGGUUGAAGGUUGGGUAACACUAACUGGAGGACCGAACCGACUAAUGUUGAAAAAUUAGCGGAUGACUUGUGGCUGGGGGUGAAAGGCCAAUCAAACCGGGAGAUAGCUGGUUCUCCCCGAAAGCUAUUUAGGUAGCGCCUCGUGAAUUCAUCUCCGGGGGUAGAGCACUGUUUCGGCAAGGGGGUCAUCCCGACUUACCAACCCGAUGCAAACUGCGAAUACCGGAGAAUGUUAUCACGGGAGACACACGGCGGGUGCUAACGUCCGUCGUGAAGAGGGAAACAACCCAGACCGCCAGCUAAGGUCCCAAAGUCAUGGUUAAGUGGGAAACGAUGUGGGAAGGCCCAGACAGCCAGGAUGUUGGCUUAGAAGCAGCCAUCAUUUAAAGAAAGCGUAAUAGCUCACUGGUCGAGUCGGCCUGCGCGGAAGAUGUAACGGGGCUAAACCAUGCACCGAAGCUGCGGCAGCGACGCUUAUGCGUUGUUGGGUAGGGGAGCGUUCUGUAAGCCUGCGAAGGUGUGCUGUGAGGCAUGCUGGAGGUAUCAGAAGUGCGAAUGCUGACAUAAGUAACGAUAAAGCGGGUGAAAAGCCCGCUCGCCGGAAGACCAAGGGUUCCUGUCCAACGUUAAUCGGGGCAGGGUGAGUCGACCCCUAAGGCGAGGCCGAAAGGCGUAGUCGAUGGGAAACAGGUUAAUAUUCCUGUACUUGGUGUUACUGCGAAGGGGGGACGGAGAAGGCUAUGUUGGCCGGGCGACGGUUGUCCCGGUUUAAGCGUGUAGGCUGGUUUUCCAGGCAAAUCCGGAAAAUCAAGGCUGAGGCGUGAUGACGAGGCACUACGGUGCUGAAGCAACAAAUGCCCUGCUUCCAGGAAAAGCCUCUAAGCAUCAGGUAACAUCAAAUCGUACCCCAAACCGACACAGGUGGUCAGGUAGAGAAUACCAAGGCGCUUGAGAGAACUCGGGUGAAGGAACUAGGCAAAAUGGUGCCGUAACUUCGGGAGAAGGCACGCUGAUAUGUAGGUGAAGCGACUUGCUCGUGGAGCUGAAAUCAGUCGAAGAUACCAGCUGGCUGCAACUGUUUAUUAAAAACACAGCACUGUGCAAACACGAAAGUGGACGUAUACGGUGUGACGCCUGCCCGGUGCCGGAAGGUUAAUUGAUGGGGUUAGCGGUAACGCGAAGCUCUUGAUCGAAGCCCCGGUAAACGGCGGCCGUAACUAUAACGGUCCUAAGGUAGCGAAAUUCCUUGUCGGGUAAGUUCCGACCUGCACGAAUGGCGUAAUGAUGGCCAGGCUGUCUCCACCCGAGACUCAGUGAAAUUGAACUCGCUGUGAAGAUGCAGUGUACCCGCGGCAAGACGGAAAGACCCCGUGAACCUUUACUAUAGCUUGACACUGAACAUUGAGCCUUGAUGUGUAGGAUAGGUGGGAGGCUUUGAAGUGUGGACGCCAGUCUGCAUGGAGCCGGCCUUGAAAUACCACCCUUUAAUGUUUGAUGUUCUAACGUUGGCCCCUGAUCGGGGUUGCGGACAGUGUCUGGUGGGUAGUUUGACUGGGGCGGUCUCCUCCUAAAGAGUAACGGAGGAGCACGAAGGUUGGCUAAUCCUGGUCGGACAUCAGGAGGUUAGUGCAAUGGCAUAAGCCAGCUUGACUGCGAGCGUGACGGCGCGAGCAGGUGCGAAAGCAGGUCAUAGUGAUCCGGUGGUUCUGAAUGGAAGGGCCAUCGCUCAACGGAUAAAAGGUACUCCGGGGAUAACAGGCUGAUACCGCCCAAGAGUUCAUAUCGACGGCGGUGUUUGGCACCUCGAUGUCGGCUCAUCACAUCCUGGGGCUGAAGUAGGUCCCAAGGGUAUGGCUGUUCGCCAUUUAAAGUGGUACGCGAGCUGGGUUUAGAACGUCGUGAGACAGUUCGGUCCCUAUCUGCCGUGGGCGCUGGAGAACUGAGGGGGGCUGCUCCUAGUACGAGAGGACCGGAGUGGACGCAUCACUGGUGUUCGGGUUGUCAUGCCAAUGGCACUGCCCGGUAGCUAAAUGCGGAAGAGAUAAGUGCUGAAAGCAUCUAAGCACGAAACUUGCCCCGAGAUGAGUUCUCCCUGAGACUUUAAGUCUCCUGAAGGAACGUUGAAGACGACGACGUUGAUAGGCCGGGUGUGUAAGCGCAGCGAUGCGUUGAGCUAACCGGUACUAAUGAACCGUGAG
Molecule: ribosomal RNA, 2562 nt
Filed under: Escherichia coli
Lineage: Bacteria; Pseudomonadati; Pseudomonadota; Gammaproteobacteria; Enterobacterales; Enterobacteriaceae
Description: partial 23S ribosomal RNA
Rfam family: Bacterial large subunit ribosomal RNA
Source: RNAcentral